Molecule: transfer RNA, 73 nt
Filed under: Streptomyces sp.
Lineage: Bacteria; Bacillati; Actinomycetota; Actinomycetes; Kitasatosporales; Streptomycetaceae
Also listed under: 52 other names
Description: tRNA-Arg(cct)
Rfam family: tRNA
About the family: Transfer RNA (tRNA) molecules are approximately 80 nucleotides in length. Their secondary structure includes four short double-helical elements and three loops (D, anti-codon, and T loops). Further hydrogen bonds mediate the characteristic L-shaped molecular structure. tRNAs have two regions of fundamental functional importance: the anti-codon, which is responsible for specific mRNA codon recognition, and the 3' end, to which the tRNAs corresponding amino acid is attached (by aminoacyl-tRNA synthetases). tRNAs cope with the degeneracy of the genetic code in two manners: having more than one tRNA (with a specific anti-codon) for a particular amino acid; and 'wobble' base-pairing, i.e. permitting non-standard base-pairing at the 3rd anti-codon position.
Source: RNAcentral
GCCCCAGUAGCUCAGGGGAUAGAGCACAGCUCUCCUAAAGCUGGUGUCGCAGGUUCGAAUCCUGCCUGGGGCA